RNAcentral lists this long non-coding RNA (361 nucleotides) under Ananas comosus (pineapple). RNAcentral describes it as "long non-coding RNA (ACOM_LNC037141)". The record is from RNAcentral. Lineage: Eukaryota; Viridiplantae; Streptophyta; Magnoliopsida; Poales; Bromeliaceae.
UAAAAAUAUUCAUUACCUUCGAUCAAAAUAUAGUGAUAAAUUUACUCCCACAAAAUGUAACAUAUUGAAUAAUUAAAUUCUCUCUUAUUAUUUAAAAAUAACCUUAACCUAUUGUAAAGGAGAUAGAGUUUGAAUUUUAAUAUUUAAUAAUUUUUUUAGAAAAAGUUGAUCGAGUACGGUGAACUUUUAGUUCGAUACUCUAAAAGGGAAAGUCAAGAAUAGGUAAAAUGAAUUUUUAAUGUAACUUGAGUUACAUUAUUUUUUUGAUUUAUAUCAAAAUAAAUACCAAAAAUAAUGAAAUGUAAGUUUCAUUUCUUCACUUUAAUUCACUAAUAAAACAAAUAGGCCAUUAUAGUCUUAU